This is a long non-coding RNA of Oreochromis aureus, 475 nucleotides long. NCBI's taxonomy places the organism in Eukaryota, Metazoa, Chordata, Actinopteri, Cichliformes, Cichlidae. The record is from Ensembl.
UGACAUCACAGCAGAGAGGCGAAUCUGGCAUUGAUAUUUGACAUCACAGCAGAGAGGUGAAUCUGGCAUUGAUAUUUGACAUCACAGCAGAGAGGUGAGUCUGGUAUUGAUAUUUGACAUCACAGCAGAGAGGCGAAUCUGGCAUUGAUAUUUGACAUCACAGCAGAGAGGCGAAUCUGGCAUUGAUAUGUGACAUCACAGCAGGGAAUCUAUUUUGGCAUUGCUAUUUGAAAUCACAGGACAGAGAGGUGAGUCUGGUAUUGAUAUUUGAAAUCACAGCAGAGAGGUGAGUCUGGUAUUGAUAUGUGACAUCACAGCAGGGAAUCUAUUUUGGCAUUGCUAUUUGAAAUCACAGGACAGAGAGGUGAGUCUGGUAUUGCUAUUUGACAUCACAGCAGAGAUUCAUGUCUGGCAUUGAUAUUUGAAAUCACAGCAGAGAGGUGAGUCUGGUAUUGAUAUGUGACAUCACAGCAGG